This 254-nucleotide ribosomal RNA is filed under the name uncultured bacterium. RNAcentral describes it as "partial 16S ribosomal RNA". It matches the Rfam family "Bacterial small subunit ribosomal RNA", at positions 524 to 776 of the family's 1533-position model. The record is from RNAcentral.
UACGGGGGGAGCAAGCGUUGUUCGGAUUUACUGGGCGUAAAGGGCGCGUAGGCGGUCAGCACAAGUCAGUUGUGAAAUCUCCGGGCUUAACUCGGAAAGGUCAACUGAUACUGUGCGACUAGAGUGCAGAAGGGGCAACUGGAAUUCUCGGUGUAGCGGUGAAAUGCGUAGAGAUCUGGAGGAACACCGAUGGCGAAGGCAGCCUUCUGGGCCAACACUGACGCUCAUGCACGAAAGCGUGGGGAGCAAACAGG